Molecule: ribosomal RNA, 462 nt
Filed under: uncultured bacterium
Lineage: Bacteria
Description: partial 16S ribosomal RNA
Rfam family: Bacterial small subunit ribosomal RNA
Source: RNAcentral
CCUACGGGUGGCAGCAGUGAGGAAUAUUGGUCAAUGGGCGCGAGUCUGAACCAGCCAAGCAGCGUGAAGGAGGACGGCCCUACGUAUUGUAAACUUCUUUUAUAAGGGAAUAAAGUAAGGCACGUGUGCCUUUUUGAAUGUACUUUAUGAAUAAGGAUCGGCUAACUACGUGCCAGCAGCCGCGGUAAUACGGAGGAUCCGAGCAUUAUCCGGAUUUACUUGGUUUAAAGGGUUGACUGGGGGGCAUCAGAAGAAGCUAGGGAAAUCUGGUGGGUCAACCAUUCAGAGUAUUAGGUAUACUGUUAAGCUUGAGAGCGUUAUGGGUAAGUGGAAUUGGUAGUGUAGGGGUGAAAUGCGUAGAUAGUAGAAAGAACACCAAUAGCGGAGGCAGGUUACUGGGACGGUUCUGACACUAAGGCACGAAAGCGUAGGGAGCAAACGGGAUUAGAUACCCUAGUAGUC